This 553-nucleotide non-coding RNA is filed under the name Clostridium sp. BL8. RNAcentral describes it as "Bacterial large subunit ribosomal RNA". It matches the Rfam family "Bacterial large subunit ribosomal RNA", at positions 93 to 655 of the family's 2925-position model. The record is from Rfam by way of RNAcentral. Lineage: Bacteria; Bacillati; Bacillota; Clostridia; Eubacteriales; Clostridiaceae.
UAGCCAGUGAUCCAGAGAUUUCCGAAUGGGGCAACCCCCAUAGUUAACACUAUGGACUAUAUACUGAAUACAUAGGUAUAUAGAGGUAAACCCGGGGAACUGAAACAUCUAAGUACCCGGAGGAAGAGAAAGAAACAUCGAUUUCCUAAGUAGCGGCGAGCGAAAGGGAAAGAGCCCAAACCUAAGCCUUUGGCUUAGGGGUUGUGGACAGAACAUAAAAGAAGACAGGAAUUAAUUGAAGAUAGCUGGAAAGCUACUCCGUAGAAGGUAAUAGACCUGUAAAUGAAAAUGGAAGUCUUCGAGUUCUGAUCCAGAGUACCACGAGACACGUGAAACCUUGUGGGAAGCAGGGAGGACCACCUCCCAAGGCUAAAUACUACCUAGUGACCGAUAGUGAAGAAGUACCGUGAGGGAAAGGUGAAAAGAACCCCGGGAGGGGAGUGAAAUAGAACCUGAAACCGUGUGCCUACAACCGGUGGAAGCACUUUAUAUGUGUGACCACGUGCUUUUUGUAGAACGAGCCACGAGUUACGAUAUGCGAGGUUAAGUACUA